GGUGAACGCUGGCGGCGUGCCUAACACAUGCAAGUCGAGCGGUGCAGUUUGAAGCUUCGGUGGAAAGCUGCAUAGCGGCGGACGGGUGAGGAAAACGUAGGAACGUGCCCCUUGGAGUUGGAUAGCCACGGGAAACUGUGGGUAAACCGACAUAGACUCGAGAGAGUAAAGGCCGAAAGGCGCCAAGGGAGCGGCCUGCGGCCCAUCAGGUAGUUGGUAGUGUAAAGGACUACCAAGCCGACGACGGGUAGCCGGUCUGAGAGGAUGGCCGGCCACAAGGGCACUGAGACACGGCCCAGACUCCUACGGGAGGCAGCAGUGGGGAAUAUUGGACAAUGGGCGAAAGCCUGAUCCAGCAACGCCGCGUGAGGGAUGACGGCCUUCGGGUUGUAAACCUCUUUCAGUAGGGACGAAGCGCAAGUGACGGUACCUACAGAAGAAGCACCGGCCAACUACGUG
This 459-nucleotide ribosomal RNA is filed under the name uncultured bacterium. RNAcentral describes it as "bacterial SSU rRNA". It matches the Rfam family "Bacterial small subunit ribosomal RNA", at positions 28 to 507 of the family's 1533-position model. The record is from RNAcentral.